CACCGUCUUCAGAAUCAUUACUCAGUGUGCCCUCAGAAAACAGAUGCUGUUUAUGGAUCCUUAAAAGACAAUCCGCUGCUUUUUUACUUUUUAAUGUUAUUACCUGUGUAGCUCUGUUUGUCUUUCUAAUACUUGUAAUAGAGUGUGGGUGAGAGUUCAUUGGGGAGUGUUUAUUUUGGAAUGUUUUUUGUAGACUCUAUGGCUAGAUUCUGAAACUGCUCAUUUUAAAAAGUAAGAAAAUGUCACAUCUUAGUUUCUAAGUCUGAUCACCUGAGAUGAUUUUUAAUACUAAAGGACCUGUGCUUCUUUCCUAAGGUUUCAUCUGAUGGAAAUCUUCCCCAGCAAGCCGCGUCAGCCCCAAGCCGUGUGGCUGCAGUAGGUCCCUAUAUCCAGUCAUCUACUAUGCCUCGGAUGCCCUCAAGGCCUGAAUUGCUGGUGAAGCCAGCCCUGCCGGAUGGUUCCUUGGUCAUGCAGGCUUCAGAGGGGCCGAUGAAAAUACAGACACUGCCCAACAUGAGAUCUGGGGCUGCUUCACAAACUAAAGGCUCUAAAAUCCAUCCAGUUGGCCCUGAUUGGAGU
RNAcentral lists this small RNA (579 nucleotides) under Pongo abelii (Sumatran orangutan). Its description in RNAcentral is "retained intron". The record is from RNAcentral. Lineage: Eukaryota; Metazoa; Chordata; Mammalia; Primates; Hominidae.